This 449-nucleotide ribosomal RNA is filed under the name uncultured bacterium. RNAcentral's name for it is "partial 16S ribosomal RNA". It matches the Rfam family "Bacterial small subunit ribosomal RNA", at positions 329 to 795 of the family's 1533-position model. The record is from RNAcentral.
UCCCAGACUCCUACGGGAGGCAGCAGUGGGGGAUAUUGCACAAUGGGGGGAACCCUGAUGCAGCGACGCCGCGUGGGUGAAGAAGCGCCUCGGCGCGUAAAGCCCUGUCAGCAGGGAAGAAAAUGACGGUACCUGAAGAAGAAGCCCCGGCUAACUACGUGCCAGCAGCCGCGGUAAUACGUAGGGGGCAAGCGUUAUCCGGAUUUACUGGGUGUAAAGGGAGCGUAGACGGCAGCGCAAGUCUGAAGUGAAAUGCCGGGGCUUAACCCCGGAACUGCUUUGGAAACUGAGCAGCUAGAGUGCAGGAGAGGUAAGUGGAAUUCCUAGUGUAGCGGUGAAAUGCGUAGAUAUUAGGAGGAACACCAGUGGCGAAGGCGGCCUGCUGGACGACAACUGACGGUGAGGCGCGAAAGCGUGGGGAGCAAACAGGAUUAGAUACCCCCGUAAUG